Molecule: small RNA, 29 nt
Filed under: Bombyx mori (domestic silkworm)
Lineage: Eukaryota; Metazoa; Arthropoda; Insecta; Lepidoptera; Bombycidae
Description: ovarian small RNA-11961
Source: RNAcentral
AGAUCUAGACUUCGUGAAACCGUGCUGAU